UAAUGAAUCACUCGGUUCAUCGGCUGAUGAAGAACGCAACCCUCUGCGAGAUUUGGUGUGAAUUGCAGAACAUAUUGAACACUGAUUUUCGAA
This is a non-coding RNA of Caerostris darwini, 93 nucleotides long. NCBI's taxonomy places the organism in Eukaryota, Metazoa, Arthropoda, Arachnida, Araneae, Araneidae. The record is from the annotation of a GenBank genome assembly.